GCUCUGACACUUAAUACUCACAGGCCACAUUACCUUGGACAUAACCUUUCUCUGCCUCAGUUUCCUCACGUGUAAAGUGGCUCGUAUCGUGACUUACAAGGGCCUGCAUUGAUAUGGCCUCUCCUCCCACCUUCCCAGCCUCUCUCGCCCCCUCACUGUUCCCUGAGCACCCUGAGAACAGUCCCGCCUUGAGGUCUUCCCGUUGGCCAUCCCCUUUGCUCAGAAUGAGCUUCACCCAGACAUCCACAAGGCCAACUGGCUCACUCCCAAUAAAUUUUCGCUCAAAUAUCUUCUCAGUGCGGCCCACCGAGGCCAUUUCCCCAGCACUCCCAGCCGCUCACCUGCCCUACUAUUUGGUCCAUAUUCUUUCUAACCUACCACACGGUUUGCUUUGUGGUUUACUUGGGUGUGAUGUCCAUUGCUUGCUAUCUGUAUAAAAGUCGCAGGUCUCUGCUUUGUUCACUGCUGUGACCCAGGUACCCAGUACCGACUCUGGCAUAAAUGGGUACUCGUCAUACCAUUGAAAGGAUUGACUUUCAGGUUUGUGAGGAUUAAAUUAGAUAGUAUUUGGCAAUCGCUUAGCUCAAAGCCUGGCCCAUAGGAAGGACUUAAUAAAACGCUGCUGUCAUGGUGCCUGUCUUUAAUAUUGAUUGAUUUGCCGCUGGGUUAUAGUUUGGGUUCAGGUCCUACUGAACACGGGCCAUAUGUAAUGACCCGCCCAUUAUGGCUACAGUCCCUCCUUGCCACCCUUCCUAGUAGAAACAGGCCCUUUCAUUGAGCUCCAUGGCCUACCGAGGCAGGGUAUUAGAGUCAGCUUCAACACGCAACUGGAGAAAUCAAGUCAGGGAACGUUUGAUAGCGUAUUUAGCAAAGGCCGCGAGUCAGAGACCUGCUUGCCUCCUGGGCCGGCAACCGAAGGAAAGUGAAGCGAAAUGGAGGAAUGCCACAGCUCCAGGCCUCCUGGCCCCGACACUGGCCUUAUCACGUUGUGUUGGAAAGAACUACAACUGUGAGAGCUCCUUUUGCGCCACUGGGCAAGUCUCAGUCAACCGCAGAGAAAACCAAAUCCACUUCAAGAAUAUGGAGAUAAGUUGGAGAGAAAAAGCGUGGCUGAGUCAGCCAGAGGCAUUUCACAGAAAUGGCCUGGUGGGCAGGAGGGCUCUGGCCAGCUUGUGUGGUCUGCCAGGACACGGGCAGCUUGGGGCGGGACUCCUCAGACCCCAUUCCUUCCAUAGGUCUGCAAAAGGAGGUUCCAAAGGCCCCAAGUGGUCUUUUCUCCUUCCCUCUUCAUCCUUCCGCCACCCAACAGAGGAAGUCCUGAUCAGUUCUCAGAUGGUAUUGCGUGAGUACUGACUCCCUCAUCACCAGGAGUGUGAGGUUGACUGCCACGACUAGCCCUGCCCUUAAGGGCUCACAGCCCAGCAGGGCAGACCAUGGCCCUGCAAGCUACUUCUAGAUGAAGUAGUUAGGAGCACAGACUCAGAGCCAUGGGGCCUGGGUUUGAGCUCAGCUCUGCAGGUUGCCAGCUUUGUGAUCUUGGGGAAGUUACAUAAAUCUUUGAGGCCUCAGUUUCUUUGCUUCAUAAAAUCAGGACUGAUAGGGGCACCUGGGUGGCUCAGUUGGUUAAGCGGCUGACUUCGGCUCAGGUCAUGACCUCGAAGUUCGUGAGUUUAAGCCCUGCAUCGGGCUCUGUGCUGACAGCUCAGAGCCUGGAGCCUGCUUCGGAUUCUGUGUCUCCCUCUCUCUGUUCCUCCCCUGCUCAGGCGCUCUCUCUCUCUCUCUGUCUCUCUCUCUCUCUCAAAAAUAAAGAUAAAAGAAAAACUUUUUUAAAUGGGGACUGAUAAUAUGCCUACCUCGUAGGGUCGUUGUGAGGAACAAAUGAACGAAAUGCAUCGUGUACCUGGACCCGUGCACGGCACAUGGUAAACAUUAUGGAAGAUUCCGUUCCUCAUCCUGGCCGAGGCGCACACCCACAUCCAUGCCCUCACUGACUUCCAGCUCUUUCACAAUGAUGCCUCAGCAAAUCUACCUCACAGAUCUGGGAGUUAAUCUGUGAUUCAGCAAAGUAGUCAGAGAUAUGGGGAUGUGGAGGAGAGUUGUCACAAACAUUCCAGCCACAAGAAUACAACAGUGCUCCAUAGCACCUGUCUGGGAGUUGUCUGGAGGGCUCUGUGUCUCUCUGGGAGGCUGCGGUGUGAGUCUACGUGCCCUGCAGCGUUCCAACUUGCUCUCAUUUCAACACGACGUGCGGUACCUCCAAUGCAUCUGUGUCUCGACCCACGUUCCUGCAGCCUCUGGGCACCCUACGAAGCGGCUGAGGCACAGCUGGAUGGCACCUGCGGUGAAAGACAGCUCCCAGGCUUCGGAGGUGGCACUUGAUGGAAAGCACACGGACACACAUGAGUUCAAGCCCCGCUCCAUCACUUACUUCCUGUGUGUCUUUGGACCAGUUGCUUACCUUCUCAGAGCUGGGAAUGCUGCAUGUAUAAAAUGCAGAUAAUAAUGCUGACCUUCUUGUUGUACGAUGAUUUAAACAGAUGACACAGGUAAAGUCCCUAGCAAAGUACCUGGCCCAGAUUCUCAAAAAAUGUAAAGACAAGGACUCUCUCCAUCUUUGACUGCCGGCACCCUACCCGGUGCCUGACAUGAUGCAUGUUGGUUGUCAUCUUUAAGCCGUGAGGAGCUGACUCCACUGAGAGGGGCAGGCUGAGUUUAGAGGGACAAGUAAGAAGGGAGCCACUGGCUGAGCCCACGCAAAGCCACCUCUGUUGUCUGGUCUUCUCUCUCAUCCUUGGCUUUCCUCCAUUAGCAGGGAAAUGUCACCCUUGAAAUUCAAACUUGUAUUGAGCUGGUCAGGAGCUCUAUGGGCACAGGGAACAAUGCACCUGUCAAAUGUCUCACCUUGGCAAGGCUUUGGGGGUCUCUCGUGGCUGCUUACGGCACACACCCUUUAUUCUCUUGACCACUUCUGUUGGAAAGCCAAUGUUCUUUAAUCUCUCACAUGAGUAUUCAUUACUGUCUAUCCAAGAGAGAUGUGUAAUAGACGUGGAAAUGCAGACAAUGUAAAGGCUUGUAAAUGGCAAGAAGGAGGGAAACAGUCCUCUGAGGGGCUAUAGCUGGGCAAAGGGAGAAAGUGAGGGUCAGCUUUCAAUGUGUACUCUCCUGGACAGAUGUAGAUCAUUCUAAUGGCCGAUUGAUCUCGUAGCUCUGAAAAAUCUCCCACACAGAAAACAGAGGGCCCAAUCUGGACCUCAGAUUGGCUGUUUGUUCUUUUAAAUAUGAUUGUGGGUAGACAGGGUAGUUUUCCCCUUUGCAUUGUCUCCUUUGGAAUCUCUUAUUUCAAAAGAAGAUAAAUAUCAAGUACUCAUAUGUUUUGCUGUUUGUAGCAGAUGCCGCAAAAGGAACGGAAGGCAACAGGGUAUGUUAAAAUCAUUUUAACCCAUCAGGGCUGCUUGGAGUAAUUUCCCUGGAAACCUGUGAAAAGGGUUUUCAAGUUGAACUCGAGACAGUUGUAAAUGUGUCCUUUUGUUGGAUAACAGAAGGUGAAUGCUAAUGCUGAGAGGGAAUUGGGGAGCCAGAUAAGUUCUAGUCUUAGAAGUUCUUAGAAGCUCUCUCUGCCCUCCAAGCCUCAGCCUUCUUGGAGCAGCAGACGAGAGCCAGCACUGAGGGCUGAGACCUGUCCUGCAGCCAUGUGGUGGGAGGAGUGACCCAGGACCCAUCAGUUCAUCUCUGCCCACGGCCCUCGUGUCUGUAAAAUGAGAACAUGACACGACGUGACGAGGUACCCCUAAACAGAAGAGCCAGCAAUGGGAAGCUGGGAGCUGCAGCACAGAAAUAUGGGCCUGGGCAGACAACGUCACAGUCUUGUCCCCUCUCAGCCACCAACUCACUCAACCUAAAGGAAGUCACCAAACUCUGCCAGCCUCAGUUUUCUUACGUAUACAAUGGGGGAUUGGAUAAAUGGAAGAGUGGCCAACUUUUUCUCUGUAGAGUCAGAUAGUAAAUAUAUUGGGCUUCAUGGGCCAUAUGGUCACCACUGUAACUACCCAACUCUGUCCUGUGGCAAGAAAACAGCGAAAGACAACAUGCAAGUGAAUGGGUGUGGCUGUUCCAAUAAAACUUUAUUCGUAAAAACAGGCAGCAGGCCGUAGGUCUUGGAUUAGAAGAUCAGGGAGUUUCUUUUUGUGUUUUUUUUAAUUCACAACAUUUCUUUUUUUAAAUUAAUGUCUUUAUUGAGACGUAACUGAUAUAUCUCAACAGAUAUAGAUAGAUGCAGAUAUAGAUAUAAACUGCACAUAUUUAAUAUUUCAAUAGAGUUUUUUCUAACUUAAUAAAGUUAUGUUUUAUCUAAUGAAGGCAUAAACCCCA
Long non-coding RNA from Neofelis nebulosa (Clouded leopard), 4368 nucleotides. RefSeq lists it as uncharacterized. NCBI's taxonomy places the organism in Eukaryota, Metazoa, Chordata, Mammalia, Carnivora, Felidae. The transcript is spliced from 3 exons. The record is from RefSeq and is a predicted model, not a curated record.